Molecule: long non-coding RNA, 6791 nt
Filed under: Arabidopsis lyrata
Lineage: Eukaryota; Viridiplantae; Streptophyta; Magnoliopsida; Brassicales; Brassicaceae
Description: long non-coding RNA (ALYR_LNC000196)
Source: RNAcentral
AAAAAACGACAAUUGUGUGUCGUUGAGCAUCUUCUCCACCGACUGAUUGAGCUUCUUCAACUCACCAUUUCCUAACCAAUUUCAGAAAUUAAAAACCAAUUAAUCAUUCAAGUUGACAUCCAAUUUGUAGCUGCAUCGGAUGAUCGAGUUCUAGAAGACAAUUCCCUUUCGAAAAAUAAAUAUGUAAGUUAUUCUAAUUCCAGAAUUAUAACAUAUAUCAUCGAUUUCUUCAUUUUCGAUCAACAAAAGUUGUUGGGUUUUCGAUAGUUUGUAAAUUGGAACAUGUGUGCGUAGACAGCAAAUUAUAUAUUUGAAGAUCUAAUCUGAUGUUUGCAAUUCAAAUGUUUGUCAUGCAAUGUUUUCCAAAUGUUCUGAAUCUGUAAACGUUGAAUAAGACUUCAAUGAAUUUGUCUGAUUUCUAACAGUGUGAAUAUUUUAUAUGAAGAUAUGGGAUCAUUGCUCAAGAGAAGCUGCGAUAUGUUCUAACAAUAUAUUGAGGUUAGUUUUCAGUAUGAUGUAAUUGGUAGUUAACUUAGUUCCGUUUUGCAUAUAGAAGUUUAUGAAAUGUUAAGUAGAAUGAAGAGGAAAUUCUAUAAUUGUUGCUUAAUGGUUGUUUGUUGAUGCAUGUUAAUUCGAUAUAUAUAACUGUUGACACUGAACAACACAAAAUCUGAGAGUUUAAGGAAGUAAAACAAAUCGUAACAAUUAGCUCCUACUUUUGAAAUGGGUAGACUUAAAACCUUUAUUCUCUCAAUUUGAUGAUAAUCAAUAUGUUAGAAAAUGGUAAAUAGAUUGCAAGUGAAAUAUAAGUCCAAAUAAGUGUGGGUUUUGCUAACCAUAAAGCAAACAUAUUGAUCCCAAGGUAAAGUAAACAUACCUUUUAUGAUAAUCCUGUUUGAAAUAUCAUUGCCGCAGAAUUAUCAAUCGAUAUUCUGGAAAACCUCUUUGAAAACAACGUUUGUUGUUUGCUUUUGAAUCUUACCUUCUUUGUCCAGGAUAAGAAUUUUCAAACCUUUUUUAGAAGUAACCCUAGAUAAAGCGACAUAGAGUUGGCCAUGAGAAAACACUGGCUUAGGCAAAUAGAGUCCAACUCUUUCUAGAGAUUGACCCUGACUCUUGUUAAUGGUCAUAGCAAAAGCCAGUGAUACUGGGAACUGUCUUCUACGCAUCCGGAAAGGUAGUUUUGUAUCUGACGGUGUAAUGACGAUUAAUGGAAUCAAAACAAUAUCACCAAUUCUGUCUCCUGUUAUGACUUUUGCUUGAAGAACACGCGGGCUCAUCUGAGUAACUUGAAGCCUAGUACCAUUGCAUAGACCUCCUUUAGGAUCAAUAUUCCGAAGCAGCAUGAUUGGAGCACCAAUCUUUAAACUUAACGCAUGGUGAGGCAAACCUGAUACCCUGAUACUGUUUAAAAAAUCUGGUGUGAUGACAGAAUUUCUAAGUGAAUCGGAGUCUUCAGGAUCUAUACUAUCAGCACUGAGAAAUAACAUUGCAUCGCCUGUAGGAAAGAACAGAGAUACUUAAUAAAUUAGAUCUGCGAUUUACUUAAAAGGAGAUAAGUUAGAUAUAUCAGAAGUAUUUACUUACCAUCCAACUUCUCCAACAAAUACUGGUUGAUUGUGUUGACAUCUUCAUUUGUUGGUGCUAGAAUGGUUCUCUUUUGGAAGAACUUAGCAUCCUUUUCUUUUAGCUUUGCUGGAUCUCCAUAAAUCCCUAGAGUAAUGGAUUCAAUGGGAUUAUCUGCUUCAGUAAUUAGCAGUUCUUCAGGUAUAUCAAUUAGAGCCUCACCGUCAUUUGGCUCUGAAAUUCUACCAUCACCAACAGCUAAAAGCCAAUAUGAGAAUUCUUUAAUGUCUUUAGCUUCUUCUACACUCAAAUCGUUUUUUAGUAGCCGCAUGUUCUUAGUGAGCUUUAGUACCUUACAGUGAUCCCAAAGAUAAGAAGCAUUUAGGGCUGCCAUGACAAUUUCAGCUCUGCCAGCACCAGUGAUUACAGGAAGAACUUGUCUAAAAUCACCUCCAAAAACAACAACCUUUCCACCAAACACUUUGCUAUCUAUAUUACCAAUUAUAUCACAGAAACUUUUGUCUAGAGAUUCAAAACACCACUUGCUCAUCAUAGGUGCUUCAUCCCAUAUAAUAAGUUUAGCUUUCCUUAUUAGAUCUGCAAGGUCAGACUUCUUAGGUAUUUUGCACACUGAAUACUCAUCGGGGGUAAGUGGUAUGGCAAACCUUGAAUGCGCAGUCCUACCACCUUCCAACAGCAAUGAAGCGAUUCCACUGGAAGCCACGUUAAGAACUAUAUCUCCUCUAGAUCUAAUAGCAGCUGAAAGUGUUUUCCAAAUAAACGUUUUUCCUGUACCUCCAAAUCCAUAAACAAAAAAAAACUCCACCUAGUUCAUUGAAAACAGCACCAGUAAUUUCAUCAUAAACACCUCUCUGCUCUGGUGUUAACAUCUCUAUCCAUUCAGCAUGUUUUUCAGUCAAAUCCUGACGGUCAUAUCGCAUCUCAUCAACGAUCAAACGAUUAGAAUUAUCAAUACCUUCUCUAGUUGGGCGGGGAAAGUUUUGUAUAUCUGUAAGAGUACCUCCAUUAAACAACAAAAUUUUCUCCAGUUCUUGAAGAGUGUAGUUUUUGAUUUCUGCUUCUGUAAGAUUCAGCUCUGCAUAUAUUGCAAAAAGAUUGAUUUAACAUCAACGGAUUUCCAUAUAAAUAGAACUAAUCAAAAAAGUAAUUAAAUCUAGGCACAUGAAUUAAUAUCUGAAUUAACCUUGAUUGUUGAACUCGUCCCUCUUCUUCUGUUGCAUAUCUUCAGCUAACAAAGGCCAUACCUGUUCCCAAACAUAUUCUGGUCUAGAAAGAGAAGUAGACAGCAGCAACAUAGCGAAAAAAUUCCUCAACCAAUCACCAAAACAAAACUGACUGGCAUCCACCAAACUGUCUAUGUAUACCUGGUCAUCAUCUAGGAUUCCACGAGCAAAACAUGCUUCUUUGUAAGUUGCAUAGACAACACCCAUGUAUGUUUUUAUAUCAGCAAAACAUGUUGGACCCCUGACUAUGUUAAGGAGGACUCUUAGAAAGUAUUCAUCUUCUAGCUUCCUUGGAACAUAAUUAAUACGACCCAAGGAGAACCCUCUAGACCUCUUGUUCCACUGCUUAUUAUUCCCAUCCCAAGUAAAAUAUGCAGGGAUUUCUGCAUAUAAGAGCUCUUGAGCACGCUUUCCAUUCUUUCCAAUAGCAUUUAGCCUAUUCAAUGUCAGCCAGGCCAUGAACAUGGAAUCCUGAUUGGUAAUUCUUUCUAAUACUUCUGUUAUAUCCUCCUUCCCUUUAAAAUAAGCUGGUUGCUUCCCUUCAACAUGGAAAGACAGCUUCUGAACAGGUGUUGAUUUAUGCUGGAUUGGAAACUUAUAUAUCCUCCAAAUAGCCUCUGAUGCAGAAACAUAUCUGCAGUUUUCACACGGUAUCAUUAAUCUUAAGAUGUUAAGUAUAUGACUAUAGAAUAAAAAUAAGUAAAACAGAAGUCACAUUACUCAAUUUACCUGCAAUCGAAAUAAUCUUUUAUUUCAUUCUUUUUUUUCUCCUCUGGUAAUGAUUCAUGAGUAGCGGAGCUUCCAUCUAUAUUUGAACCUUGUUCUGUUGUUGGCGGUUUAUCAGGCUCAACAACAAAUGCCAUUUUAUCUGGACCUUUAUUAAUAUACUUGAAUAAGUAUUUAAUAGAGCCGGUUUGAUUACACCAUUCAACAUUGAUGUGAGCACCAUAUCUAACAGAUAGCUUCUUAUUGUAAGGGACAACAUACCUAUUGUCACAUUGAAUACCACAUUUCUCAACAUAGUUAUCAGAGCGUCUUCUCCUAUACACAGGAAAACCAUCAGCCCCAACCUUUGUGAUUUCCUCAUAUUUCUUAGGAUACUGUUUUGAACACUGUCCAUCGACCAUACACGGAGAAUUCAUAUUUGCUGCACCACAUGGACCAUGAAUCAUUGAAUUUUUAAUAACCUCAUACAGCUCUGGUUCUGUCUCCUUAUCUGGAAUCUCAGCAGAAAUCAUCUUGUCAAUAUCAGCAGCUGUUGGAAGUUUACUUUUAGCAUCCAUGAAUAAAAGAAUGUGAGCAUGGGGAAGGCCUCUUUUCUGAACUUCGACUGUAUACAUAGCUGCAAAAGAAAAAUACACACAUCAUUUUCAAUAUGUUAUCUUUCACCUAAUCCACUGAAUUAUCAAAAUGAAGAAAACUUACAGGCAACAGUCUUCCCAAGCAUUUUCUUUUCUGUUAGAUCAUUCAUUAGGGAAUCCAACUUGAUUUUGAAAAUCCUAGCAACAAUGUCUGGCCGAUCUUCAGCUGUUAACCCUCUCUCUGUAACGUAUCUGGUAAUCUCAGGCCACUUAGGGUUGCAUGUAAAUGUGAUGAAUAAAUCUGGGAAACCAUAAUGUUUACAUAUGGCCAUAGCAUCAUAGUAACUUUGCACCAUAUACCUAGGUCCACCAGUGAAUGAGGCUGGAAUCAAGAUUUGAUUACCUUCAUCUUCCAUAUUUUUUACACCAGAGUCAGCAGCUUCUUUGAUGGAGCUGUAGUUCUCACAUCUGAGCUUAGACUGAUUGAACCUUAUGUAGCAUAGCCGAUUAGAUUCAAUAGUUGUGUAAGCGUCACAAAGAAACUGCUGAAACAACCUCUUAGAUAGUAGCAGAGUAUGGCACUCACCAGGCCUCUCUUGAAUGCGAAAAGCAAACCACUGACGCAUACUAAUACACUUCUUCUUCUUAUUGUUAGUGACAUUCCCUUUAUAACACUUCUCGAUACCAGGCCUAUAUCCAUCUUCACCAUAGCAAAAAAUCAGAGGAUAUUGUAGAGCUAGAUAAGAAAUGUGAAUCUGGUUAAUCCUUUUGAGGUGACCUGUAGUUCUUUCUUCAAUAACUAUAUCACGAUUUGGCAUAUCCUCUGUAAAAUCUCCUGGUAUUAAAGCUGCAACCUCUGAUGUAGUAGGCAUGCUGUAAGUCCUUCCAUCUACACCCUUACGACCAGAGCAUAUCCUCAUAUGAAAUGGCUGGCAGUUAAUAUCUUUAAAUCUUUCCUUCGCAAUUCGGAAAUUCUUGACAUAAGGAUUGCAGAGAUUGAGCAUCUUCAUAAUGGCUUCGAUUGUUUCCUUGUUUAGAUUCUGUUUACCUCCACCUUGGUUGGAUUCCUUGCCCUUUCUACAAAACAGGAAGUAAUGAAAGACUUUUUUAUGAAAAGAUAACAGAACAACAGAAGCAGUAAAAACAAAAAAGUUAAAAGUCUUAGAAAUUAAUACCCGAUAACAGUUGCUCUGUUUUCUACUUCAUUUUUAGUGUCAACAAUAUAUAACUGUGAAUACUUAGCAUAGUCACCAACUGCAGGCUUUAAACUGCCAAUCAAAUGAUAGUUACCUCCUUGCAUUCGAAACAUGCUAGGUCCGUGACCUUUCGGUAUAGAUUUAUCAACUUUUCCACCAAGUGAGGUCAUUGCAAAGACCAUAUUAAAGAUCCUGGCAUGCUUUCUGUAAUUUCUACUCUGUGCAUCAUUACCAGUAAGAAGUUUCUUGAUUAAAUCUGGUGACUCUUUAAGAAAAGGUAAUUUAACAGAACCCUGACCACAACAGAGUGUAAAAGUAGGAUCCUUUUGAUUACGUCUUUUGUUUAUACGCUCAGCAUACCACAUAAAAGCACCACAAUACUUACACUGGUAAGUAGGAUCUCCAUGAUCAAGAUAAGCUGAAAACAAAAGAGAUCAUAUAUGGUUAGCAGAUAUCAGAUAACCAUAUUAUUUGUCAAAGUACAAUAAUUAACUCAGACAUACUUAAUUUCAUGUUCUUUCUAGCCUUGACACGUGUUUUUUUUUUUUUUGAGUAUCUGUUUGUUGUGUUUGAUGCUGAUUGGGAUCAAUUCUUGAUUCUACAGUGUGAAUAGGUUCUGAUGAAACAUCAAUGUUUGCACCUGCGUCCAUUGUCUGAAUAUGUAUAACUGAACUUUCAUCCUCACUGCUACUAUGGUCAUAAUUUUGCACCACUGCUUCAUCUUCACUCAAAUCCACAGAGUAAUUUGCAUCAUACAUCUCCUCAUCACUGCUAUUCUCCAUGAAGUCUGUAUCAUUAGUUUCUGUAGCAGAGUGUCCUAUAGGAGAUAUAAUUGUAAAAAAGUUCAUUAUUCAGUUAAUGAAUGUAGAAUAUCGGUCGAAAACUAAGGGUACCAAUAUUACCUUUAUGAUAAGAAGAUGAUCCUGCAUCUGUAAAGUCUGAAUGAAGAUUUUUUCUGGGCAAGUUUAUUGUCUGAGAAUUCAAUCUCGAUGGUUGCUUGGUAGUUAUACAUGAAGAACUACCAAAACAUUGGUUCCCUGAAAGAAAAUAGAUUGUAAAAAUGAUAGCAAGUAAAUAACAAAGUAUCCUUAUCUAAAAAAAUCAAAUAAUUAACCUUGUCUUGGUCUUGUUUCAGAGGGUGGUGGCAUAAGAGGAGUUUGAGCAGUACCUAGGGUCAUAUCCCUAAGUCCUAAUGGAGUGGAUACUAAAGUAGAUAAAAUGCUUAUGGGAGAGACAGAAGUUAAGUGGCUUCCAAGGGGUGUACCUGUAUCAAUUCCAGAAAAUUGGUACUACUUUACUCUAUCAAGUCAAUGAUUGCACUUUGUACAGUUAUGUAAAAAAACUUGUGAAUGACAUAAAAUGUUUAAUGCCUACCUCUUACUAUUGUCUUCUUUAGUGUAGACCUAACCGUUGGUGGAUCCUCAGACAUAACAGUUGGUAUAACAGGAGUUGAUGAAAGGUUAGUAAUAUCUUGCAAAACAGUA